GUUGAAGAACGCAGCGAAAUGCGAUAAGUAAUGUGAAUUGCAGAAUUCAGUGAAUCAUCGAAUCUUUGAACGCACAUUGCGCCCGCCAGUAUUCUGGCGGGCAUGCCUGUUCGAGCGUCAUUUCAACCAUCAUGCCCCAGGCUUGUGUUGGGGACCUGCGGCUGCCGCAGGCCCUGAAAACCAGUGGCGGGCUCGCUGUCACACCGGGCGUAGUAGAUUUUAUCUCGCUCAGGGCGUGCUGCGGGUUCCGGCCGUUAAAAAGCCUUUUUUACCCAAGGUUGACCUCGGAUCAGGUAGGAAGACCCGCUGAACUUAAGCAUAUCAAUAAGCGGAGGA
RNAcentral lists this unclassified non-coding RNA (336 nucleotides) under soil metagenome. RNAcentral's name for it is "partial contains 5.8S ribosomal RNA, internal transcribed spacer 2, and large subunit ribosomal RNA". The stretch from base 1 to 120 matches the Rfam family "5.8S ribosomal RNA", at positions 35 to 154 of the family's 154-position model. The record is from RNAcentral.